RNAcentral lists this ribosomal RNA (306 nucleotides) under uncultured Candidatus Saccharibacteria bacterium. RNAcentral describes it as "bacterial SSU rRNA". It matches the Rfam family "Bacterial small subunit ribosomal RNA", at positions 146 to 486 of the family's 1533-position model. Lineage: Bacteria; Candidatus Saccharimonadota. The record is from RNAcentral.
ACUGCUCGAAAGAGUAGCUAAUACCGCAUGUGGUCUAAGGAUUAAAGCUUCGGCGCUUUGGGAAUGGCCUGCGUUCGAUUAGCUUGUUGGUGAGGAAAUAGCUCACCAAGGCGAUGAUCGAUAGCUGGUCUGAGAGGAUGAUCAGCCAGACUGGGACUGAGACACGGCCCAGACUCCUACGGGAGGCACCAGUAGGGAAUUUUCCACAAUGGGCGAAAGCCUGAUGGAGCAACGCCGCGUGCAGGAUGAAUGCCUUCGGGUUGUAAACUGCUUUUAUAUGUGACGAUUAUGACGGUAGCAUAUGAA